GGAAGGGUGUCCGAGUGGUCUAAGGAACCGGUCUUGAAAACCGGCGUGCCUGCAAGGGUACCGUGGGUUCGAAUCCCACCCCUUCCGCCA
RNAcentral lists this transfer RNA (90 nucleotides) under Afipia felis (cat scratch disease bacillus). Its description in RNAcentral is "tRNA-Ser". It matches the Rfam family "tRNA". From Rfam's summary of the family: Transfer RNA (tRNA) molecules are approximately 80 nucleotides in length. Their secondary structure includes four short double-helical elements and three loops (D, anti-codon, and T loops). The record is from RNAcentral. Lineage: Bacteria; Pseudomonadati; Pseudomonadota; Alphaproteobacteria; Hyphomicrobiales; Nitrobacteraceae.